CUGGCCUGGCUGGGAGGUGGCCUGGGAAGGGACCCGUGUUUCUCAAGCCCGCGCCCUCGGGGCCUGGGGGUGGGGCCCAGCAGAUGUCUGGAUUUGGUAGCCAGGGCCUGGAGCCGGAUGCUGAGAUGAGGCCUGCAACUCAUUUCCCCAUUAAACGUCCUGAGAACAUCCGCACCGGCUCCAGGCCGCUCCCGCGCUCGCUGCUCUGAUGGCAGCGUGAAGCUCAGAGCGGGCACAGGUCCGCGGUGUUGUGGUGAAGGUGACAACAUUGCUCUUAAUUAGAUUAAAAACAUUUUUUUCUUCCUCUGUAAUUUUGCCUUGAAAAUCAAGGCUGCUUUUUUGUUUUCUUCUUCCAAAGACCUCCAGAAGCUUUCCUCCCCACCUCUCCAGAGGUUUCUUGGGAAUGUCCUGUGAGCUCAGCGCUUGGAGAAGACAGCGCUUAGCCCAGAUUCCACUGUGU
Molecule: long non-coding RNA, 460 nt
Organism: Camelus ferus (Wild Bactrian camel)
Lineage: Eukaryota; Metazoa; Chordata; Mammalia; Artiodactyla; Camelidae
Rfam family: KCNQ1 overlapping transcript 1 conserved region 1
Source: Rfam